Long non-coding RNA from Dreissena polymorpha, 535 nucleotides. RefSeq lists it as uncharacterized. NCBI's taxonomy places the organism in Eukaryota, Metazoa, Mollusca, Bivalvia, Myida, Dreissenidae. The record is from RefSeq and is a predicted model, not a curated record. The transcript has 3 exons.
GAAAACAGAUUCAAGACAUUACUGUAUCACUCGAGAAGAAGUUGAAGUCUAACAGGAUCUGCUGUGUGCCCAAAUGUCACACCACUGGCUAAGGAUUGUUAGAAGGCCAUGGAAAGCCCAGCUAUCAUGCAUUUCCAGCUGAAGAUGAUCCAGUUCAAGCUGUUUGGUUGAAUAAAAUACGAAGAGAUGAAGACAGACAUUUUAAGAUAAGUCACAAUACGGUUGUCUGUUUUCUCCAUUUUGAACGUGACUGUCUUGAUGAAUCUGGAUUUGCUAAGCGGAGGUAUCUAAAACCAGGAGCCAUCCCUACACUAUUCGACUGCUGGAAGGACAAACCACAUCUGUUGAAGCGAAUUCACGUGGAACGUGCAAUUAACAAAAUUAAAAGUUUUCACAUAUUUGAUCAGGUCAUUCCGGUUUCUCUGUUUGGGACAAUUAAUCAAAUUUGGACAGUUUGCUCAUUGCUCACUCUUUUCCAAGACUCAAUUAUAUCAUGUCCUGGUGUUUAACAUACAUACCAUUUAUAUGAACAUAU